This is a non-coding RNA of Pangasius djambal, 72 nucleotides long. Lineage: Eukaryota; Metazoa; Chordata; Actinopteri; Siluriformes; Pangasiidae. The record is from the annotation of a GenBank genome assembly.
UUCCUGGAGGAAUAGUGGUUAGGCCACAGUGCGCUCACCGCCAUGGCCCGGGUUCGAUUCCCAGCCAGAAAA